GCAUAGCGGUAUCCUGAGUAACGCGGGACACGAGGAAUCCUGCGCGAAUCUGCCGGGACCAUCCGGUAAGGCUAAAUACUCCCGUGAGACCGAUAGCGAACGAGUACUGUGAAGGAAAGGUGAAAAGAACCCCGAGCAGGGGAGUGAAAUAGUUCCUGAAACCAUACGCCUACAAGCGGUCGGAGCAUCGCAAGAUGUGACGGCGUGCCUUUUGCAUAAUGAUCCUACGAGUUACCGUCACUGGCGAGGUUGAGUGUCACGAGACACGUAGCCGCAGUGAAAGCGAGCCUGAAUAGGGCGCACAGUCAGUGGGGGUAGACGCGAAACCAAGUGAUCUACACUUGGCCAGGAUGAAGUCCCGGUAACACGGGAUGGAGGUCCGCACCAAUAAGCGUUGAAAAGCUUCUGGAUGAGCCGAGUGUAGGAGUGAAAGGCCAAUCAAACUUGGAGAUAGCUCGUACUCCCCGAAAGGCAUUUAGGUGCCGCGUCGGAUGGUCACCGUGAGAGGUAGAGCGACCGAUAGGACAAGAGGGCUUCACCGCCUAUCGAGUCCUGACGAACUCCGAAUGCUCACGGUCUGCAGUCCGGCAGUAAGGGGGCGGGUGCUAAGGUCCGUCCCCGAGAGGAGAAGAAUCCAGACCGCCGUCUAAGGUCCCGGAGUUCUGCCUGAGUUAGUCUAACGAAGUCUGGUCCCUAUGACAGCUAGGAUGUUGGCUUGGAAGCAGCCAUUCAUUCAAAGAGUGCGUAACAGCUCACUAGUCGAGGGUCCGGGCAUGGAUAAUAAUCGGGUAUAAGGCAGACACCGAAGGCGCGGGAUAGCAAUUAUAAAAGUAUCGGUAGGGGAGCAUACUCACAGCGUCGAAUGGUGUACGUAAGUUAUCCUGGAGCGGUGAGUAAAGCAAAUGUAGGAAUAAGUAACGAUAAGGAGGGUUAGAUUCCCUCCCGCUGUAAGACCAAGGUUUCCCGGGCAAUGCCAAUCAGCCCGGGGUCAGUCGGGUCCUAAGUCUAAGCCGAACGGCGAUGGCGAUGGCAGAGACGGUUAAUAUUCCGUCACUGCCGCAUGGGGCGACGUGGAGACGGAGCAGUGAAACCACCGCGGGGCGACGGAAGUCCCCGUUGAAGAGUGUAGGCGUUGAGGAUGGCAGGCAAAUCCACCAUCCGAGCUGAACUUGACAGUACGGAGUCCUCCUCGGAGGAAUCUGAUAGUGUGGGUAAUCAUACUCCCGAGAAAAUCCGCUAAGCUUAACCCAUGCGGCACCCGUACCGCAAACGGACACACGUGGUCGGGUAGAACAUACUAAGGCGUUGAGAGAUUCAUGGUUAAGGAACUAGGCAAAUUGACCCUGUAACUUCGGGAUAAAGGGUCCUCGUGAUGAGCGAGGCGCAGAGAAUAGGUCCAGGCAACUGUUUAACAAAAACACAGGGCUGUGCAAACUCGAAAGAUGACGUAUACAGCCUGACACCUGCCCGGUGCCGGAAGGUUAAGAGGAGAUGUCACUCGCAAGAGGAAGCAUUGAAUUGAAGCCCCGGUAAACGGCGGCCGUAACUAUAACGGUCCUAAGGUAGCGAAAUUCCUUGUCGGGUAAGUUCCGACCUGCACGAAUGGUGUAAUGAUCCGGACGCUGUCUCAACCAUGAGCUCAGUGAAAUUGUAGUAUCGGUGAAGAUGCCGAUUACCCGCGAUGGGACGAAAAGACCCCGUGAACCUUUACUACAGCUUAGCAUUGACCUUGGUCAUCCGAUGUGUAGGAUAGGCCGGAGGCUUCGAAGCGGGAGCGCCAGCUUUCGUGGAGCCAUCCUUGAAAUACGGCCCUUUGGCUGUCUGAGGUCUAACGCGUGAUACGCGGACACUGCUUGGUGGGUAGUUUGACUGGGGUGGUCGCCUCCAAAAGCGUAACGGAGGCUUCCAAAGGUGCCCUCGGGUCGAUUGGUAACCGACCUCAAAGAGUGCAAUGGCAUAAGGGCGCUUGACUGGGAGGCAGACAUGCCGAGCAGGCAGGAAACUGGGGCAUAGUGAUCCGGCGGAUGUGUAUGGAAACUCCGUCGCUCAAAGGAUAAAAGGUACUCCGGGGAUAACAGGCUGAUCCCCCCCAAGAGCUCAUAUCGACGGGGUGGUUUGGCACCUCGAUGUCGGCUCGUCACAUCCUGGGGCUGGAGAAGGUCCCAAGGGUUGGGCUGUUCGCCCAUUAAAGUGGCACGCGAGCUGGGUUCAGAACGUCGUGAGACAGUUCGGUCUCUAUCUAUCGUGGGCGUGGGAGUUUUGAGUGGUGCCGUCACUAGUACGAGAGGACCGUGAUGGACAGACCUCCGGUUUACCAGUUGUGCCGCCAGGCGCACCGCUGGGUAUCUGAGUCUGGAUUGGAUAAGCGCUGAAAGCAUCUAAGUGCGAAGCCAGCCGCAAGAUGAGAACUCCAUUGAGGGUCGUCAGAGACGAUGACGUUGAUAGGAUGCAGGUGUAAAGACAGCGAUGUCAAAGCCGAGCAUUACUAAUUGCCCGAACACUUUCUUUA
This 2509-nucleotide ribosomal RNA is filed under the name Segatella copri. RNAcentral's name for it is "partial 23S ribosomal RNA". It matches the Rfam family "Bacterial large subunit ribosomal RNA", at positions 395 to 2925 of the family's 2925-position model. Lineage: Bacteria; Pseudomonadati; Bacteroidota; Bacteroidia; Bacteroidales; Prevotellaceae. The record is from RNAcentral.